GACGAACGCUGGCGGCGUGCUUAACACAUGCAAGUCGAACGGAAAGGCCUUUUCGGAGGUACUCGAGUGGCGAACGGGUGAGUAACACGUGGGUGAUCUGCCCUGCACUCUGGGAUAAGCCUGGGAAACUGGGUCUAUACCGGAUAGGACCGCACUUUAGUGUGUGUGGUGGAAAGUUUUUUCGGUGUAGGAUGAGCCCGCGGCCUAUCAGCUUGUUGGUGGGGUAAUGGCCUACCAAGGCGGCGACGGGUAGCCGGACUGAGAGGUUGGUCGGCCACAUUGGGACUGAGAUACGGCCCAGACUCCUACGGGAGGCAGCAGUGGGGAAUAUUGCACAAUGGGCGCAAGCCUGAUGCAGCGACGCCGCGUGGGGGAUGACGGCCUUCGGGUUGUAAACUCCUUUCGCCAGGGACGAAGCGUUUUGUGACGGUACCUGGAGAAGAAGCACCGGCUAACUACGUG
Molecule: ribosomal RNA, 462 nt
Filed under: uncultured bacterium
Lineage: Bacteria
Description: partial 16S ribosomal RNA
Rfam family: Bacterial small subunit ribosomal RNA
Source: RNAcentral